GUGUCAGCAGCCGCGGUAAUACGGAGGGUGCAAGCGUUAUCCGGAUUCACUGGGUUUAAAGGGUGCGUAGGUGGAUUGGUAAGUCAGUGGUGAAAUCUCCGGGCUUAACUCGGAAACUGCCAUUGAUACUAUCAGUCUUGAAUACCGUGGAGGCCAGUAGAAUAUGUCAUGUAGCGGUGAAAUGCUUAGAUAUGACAUAGAAUACCAAUUGCGAAGGCAGCUGGCUACGCGAAUAUUGACACUCAGGCACGAAAGCGUGGGGAUCAAACAGGAUUAGAUACCCUGGUAGUCCACGCCCUAAACUAUGGAUACUCGACAUACGCGAUACACUGUGUGUGUCUGAGCGAAAGCAUUAAGUAUCCCACCUGGGAAGUACGAUCGCAAGAUUGAA
This 391-nucleotide ribosomal RNA is filed under the name uncultured bacterium. RNAcentral's name for it is "bacterial SSU rRNA". It matches the Rfam family "Bacterial small subunit ribosomal RNA", at positions 505 to 898 of the family's 1533-position model. The record is from RNAcentral.